UUGGAGGGCAAGUCUGGUGCCAGCAGCCGCGGUAAUUCCAGCUCCAAUAGCGUAUAUUAAAGUUGUUGCAGUUAAAAAGCUCGUAGUUGAAUUUCGGGAUCAAUGUUUCGGUCAUGCCGUUGGUAUGUACUGAUAUUAUUGAUUUCUCACCUUCUAAAGAACCGUAAUGCCAUUAAUUUGGUGUCACGGGGAAUUAGGACUGUUACCUUGAAAAAAUUAGAGUGUUUAAAGCAGGCUCACGCUUGAAUACAUUAGCAUGGAAUAAUGAAAUAGGACAUCCGAUUCUAUUUUGUUGGUUUCUAGGAUCGAUGUAAUGAUUAAUAGGGAUAGUUGGGGGCAUUAGUAUUCAAUUGUCAGAGGUGAAAUUCUUGGAUUUAUUGAAGACUAACUACUGCGAAAGCAUUUGCCAAGGAUGUUUUCAUUAAUCAAGAACGAAAGUUAGGGGAUCGAAGACGAUCAGAUACCGUCGUAGUCUUAACCAUAAACUAUGCCGACUAGGGAUCGGAUGAUGUUAAUUUUUUAAUUGACUCGUUCGGC
RNAcentral lists this ribosomal RNA (537 nucleotides) under uncultured Glomeraceae. Its description in RNAcentral is "SSU rRNA". It matches the Rfam family "Eukaryotic small subunit ribosomal RNA", at positions 548 to 1084 of the family's 1831-position model. Lineage: Eukaryota; Fungi; Glomeromycota; Glomeromycetes; Glomerales; Glomeraceae. The record is from RNAcentral.